Molecule: non-coding RNA, 213 nt
Filed under: delta proteobacterium NaphS2
Lineage: Bacteria; Deltaproteobacteria
Also listed under: 1 other name
Source: RNAcentral
UUCGCGACGGAAUAUUCGGGUGCUCCUAAGGAGCUUAAAAGGGAACCUCGUGGGAAUCGAGGACGGACCCGCCGCUGUAACCCUUGCUCUUCACCGCAUUUGAUGGGAAGAGAACUUUCUUGGCCUCUGUUUGCCACUGUCUUCAUAACCGGGAUGGGAAGGCCGCCAAGAUGGAUGGGAAGCCAGAAGACCUGCCCAUGAAUGGAGAUUUAA